Capsicum annuum is the source of this 8482-nucleotide long non-coding RNA. RefSeq lists it as uncharacterized. The transcript has 9 exons. Lineage: Eukaryota; Viridiplantae; Streptophyta; Magnoliopsida; Solanales; Solanaceae. The record is from RefSeq and is a predicted model, not a curated record.
GUCUUGUAUUCUUAUUUAUGCACAGUUACCACUACUGGAAAUAGAGGCUAUGGCAACUAUUUUUUUGCGACGGUUACAUAACUGUAGCUAUAUAAAACCUACGAUGACGGCUAUAACCGUAGCAUAACAUGGUACCACACUUGAAGAGUAUCAUAGAAUUGAUCUACAAAUGAGGUUAUGGUAAGGUAGCCAAUCAGAUAAUUGUCUUGAUUGACAAUGUUGUCAUUGAGCAGGUUGGUGCGCACCUGCUAUCUACUCUGCCUUUGUUUGGUAUUUUUGUCCUUUUUUUAAUAAUCUUGUAUCCUGUACUAUCACUGAAGGCCAUGCCUAGCAGUUCAGUAGCCAGCAACUAAUGUUGCCUUUAUUUUUCUUAAUUUAGUUUAUAGUUAUUAGCUAGGAUGUUCAUUGUUUCAUUGUCAAUCUGUUUAGUGGUUAAUUCUCAAAAGGAAAAUGUAGAUGUUUCUAUAUUUGCUAGUCUACCAGAGACGAAAAAAAAUGGUAAAACGCGGAACUUCAUUACCAGGGGAAAUACAUAUGAUGAAUUAUAUCAUACAUAAUUAUUUCUAGUGCAUUUCUCUACAGAGCUUGAUAUUUAUAUGCAAAAGCAAUUCAAUAUCAUCCAUGCCUACCUUCCCGUCACCCACUAGAGAUCUGGUACUAGUAAACUCCAUGAGAUCUUACCUUCAAGCUAUUAAAACUCAUGUGAAGAAUACAGACGGAUUUGCUAAAGCCUUCAUCUUGAAAUUUUAGGCAAUAUGUUGCCUCCUAUGUAUAUCAAUUCAGUGGCUACAGGAACUCCAUUUAGGGGAAUUGUGUAGAUAUGCAUCACCUCGACAUUAUUGCAGUAUAUUUGAACUUUCACUAUUUCUAUUGCUAACUCAGAUCCUUUUGUUCCUCGUACAAUUUGGUAUCGGAUACCAUUAAUAGAAAUUCAUCAGAUUUGAUGGUUUAGAACCUGCAUAUAUUCACUUGUAGUGUUAUUUACAAUUCACUUGUAGUGCAACCAGAAAUUUAUCCAACUUUUAUUUACUCCUAUAUUGCAUACAUCCUCUUUUAGUUUUCACUCUAAAGCUAUAUAUCUGAUGCCACAGGUAUCAAGUAUGAACGAGAAUGAGUCUCAGCCCUCCUUAUACUCCUCAUCCUUGAUUCUUCUAUCCUAUGUCAAACCACAUAAUAGCACAUAGAGCCAAUAGUAGUGAGUAUUAUGGUGCUACCAAUUUUAGUUGCAUAGAUGGCAAGCCCUCUUUCCUUGUCUCUAACCACCACAUAAGUAAGUGAAAUAAAGAAAACUAACAUGGAGAGGCAGGCGGCCCACAUAAGCUUGAUUAUCCAAAACAUGAGUUGUUUUUUUGCCUUCUAUUCAAUCACAACCACAAAAGUUUGUACCACCACAAUAGCAAUGGAAAUAAACAAGGUCAUACUAUCAAACAAGAAGAAUAUUAUGAAAGAUGCUUUCUUGUCUAUGCGUGCUUUACCAAGCAAAACCCCAUCUGUCUUCUCCUCAACAUAUUGGCCAAGUACAGUGAAAAUGGUAGCAAAAUCUACAGUACUUGAUCUGGCGAUAUUCAUUGACAUCGUACAUUAUUAGUUCGGAUAUUAAUAGUUUAUUGAUAUUCUGUUGCCAUACCUAAACCAAGGUUUGUGUUUGGGCUAGGCAAUUACCGAUGUUCGCACUUAUUCUAUGAAUGUGUGUAUCAAUAACUUAUUAGACAUUCACGUCUGGUGAAGUCUAUCAAAGGCAUAAAGUGAUAAAAAAGCUGAGGUCUUUUUGCUGCAAUAUGAAUAUCAAAGAUUAUUGAACUGAUUAUAAGUGUUUUAUGUUUGGACUUAUAAAUAGUUAUUUGAACGCUAUAUAAAUCAUCUAUAUGAAUAGUUGUUUGAACACAUAUUUGUUUUGUAAUAAUCAGGUUGUUCAUCUUAAUUUUAUGCAGGUUUAGAUAAAAAUGAAUCAAUAAGGGCCUUCAAAAAAUAACAAAAGAGCAAACACCAAGGCAUUUACUAAACUUGGAUCAUUCAACCAUGGAAAAUAUAAAAUGAUGAUUAUUGACAACAAAUGAAACUGUUAAAGCUAUAAGAUUAGAGAAAGAGAAUCUUCUAAAAUUAUUUAGAGAACAACAGCCACAAGUACAACAACUACCAAUACAACAACCACCAUCUCAAGAGAUUGAACAAUCUGUAGUGGAGCAUAAUAUUGUAGAGGAGCAACAUGUAGAUAAUGGGAAACAUGUAGAGGAUCAAGUCCAUAUAGCUGAUUCAGCCACUCUGAUAAUAACUUAACAUUCUGAAGAACAAGGUAACAUAUAGCUUAGAAACUUAUUGAAUUCAUUCAUGACGUUUAAUUUUUUUCUAUUUUAUAAUAGUUGAAGGGCCUUCCACUAAAAAACAAGAGAAAAACACAAAUGCACAAGUUACAUGGCAGACAAGAGGAAAAACUAAUCAUACUAAAUUGACAAAAUCAACCUGUUGGUCCUACUAAUAAAGUUGUAACUGAGUUAAGCAGCUUCCUUAGAACAUUGGCAAAGAAUGUGACCCUUUGUCCAUUGGGAUAUUUGAUUGGAGGCUGAUGGAUACUAAAAAGGAUUUAUGGGAUUAUACUCAGGAAAAGGAGAAGGGGGAACUUUGUUGUUGACGAAAAUAUUUGCGGUCACAAGAGCAAGAAAGCCUGGUCGUACAUACAAGACGGCAAAUGAAAGUACCACUAGUAAAAUUGUAUUAAACUUAUCUAUUUUAAGUUUAUAUUGACAUCCAGUUUUUAAUUUAUAAUUACUUGAAUGUGCUUUUGAAUAUGAUUUAUUAGGCUGAAAUGGAGGAAAUUGAAAUGCAACUGGGUGCAAAUGAUUAGUCUGUUGAUACAUUUUCAGCAAUUAUGGGUCCUGAACAUUCGGGACGUCUAAGACUAUAUGGAAUCGGGGUUACAAAAACUUUUUUGAAAAAAUAAAUGGCACUUAUGAACAAACUUUAAAUGCCACCAAUGAAUCAUGUAACAAAUGCAAGUAAGGAUGCAAAAAUUAGAGGACCAAUCAAGGAACCAAAGAGAACCAUUCGACAAGAAGUUAUUGCAUAUGUAAUUGCUCAACUUUAGAAUGCAGGAUUAAUUAAUCCUAAGACACUAGAGACAUUGUCCAUUCCUUCUCCAAGAGAAUCUACCUCUACACUUACAGUUAUAGGGAGAAACAGUCAAAACAGUCAAGGUUAGUGUUUGACAUUCUGAAUUGUACUCCAGUUCAUUUAGUGGCUGAUAUUAUUGUUGUUGUUAUUGUUAUAAUGUAUUGGAUGGUUAUUGAUGGCUGGUAACUUCAUAUUAUAUAUCAUGGUAUUGUUGUUUAUUAUUUGAAAUUCUGGAUAGUUAUUGGUAGCUGGUAACUGUGUAUUAUUUAUCAUGGUAUUUUGUUUAUUAUUUGAAAUUCUGGAUGGUUAUUGUUGGCUGGUAACUAGUAUUAUACUGUUGGCAACAAUGUUUGAAUUCUAAAUUUGUUCAAAGUAAGUCUCUAGCAUUGUUUGAUUUGAUAUACCACAGAAGGUUAAAUUUGAUAAGAUAUCAUGUAGAUGUCUAGUCAAUGUUUCCAAUAUUGCCUAUUGAUUACCUAUUUGAUGAGAUUUCAUGUAGAAGUCUAGUCUUAACUUUGUGAUGGUGCCUACUGAUUCUCUAUUUGAAUAUUAGUCUUUGGUUGUAUAAGUUCAUUAUUUUACUUAUUAUAUGUUCAUCCGGAAGGAGACUCUCCUCUUUCCUGUUAUAUGAAUUAUGACCCGAGGGCCCUCCUGCAUUAUUAUCCUUCGUUCUUAGGGGUGGUUUUUGGUUUUGUUCAAACAGAUACUCACACUAUACUAUAGUACUUGUUGGAAAGAAAAAAUUGAAGUUUAGUGGAGCAAACUGGCACUACUAUGCAGUCUAUACAUCCCUGUUGUAAGCUUAGUUCUAAAAUAUGCAUGAGUUGUUGCAUUCUACUUUGCUUAGCCAAACGGCAUGUAGAACACAAUUUGAUGAGAUAUCAUGUAGAUGCCUAGUCAAAGUUUCCAAUAUUGCCUAUUGAUUACCUAUUUGAUGAGAUUUCAUGUAGAAGUCUAGUCUUAACUUUGUGAUGGUGCCUACUGAUUCUCUAUUUGAAUAUUAGUCUUUGGUUGUAUAAGUUCAUUAUUUUACUUAUUAUAUGUUCAUCCGGAAGGAGACUCUCCUCUUUCCUGUUAUAUGAAUUAUGACCCGAGGGCCCUCCUGCAUUAUUAUCCUUCGUUCUUAGGGGUGGUUAUUGGUUUUGUUCAAACAGAUACUCACACUAUACUAUAGUACUUGUUGGAAAGAAAAAAUUGAAGUUUAGUGGAGCAAACUGGCACUACUAUGCAGUCUAUACAUCCCUGUUGUAAGCUUAGUUCUAAAAUAUGCAUGAGUUGUUGCAUUCUACUUUGCUUAGCCAAACGGCAUGUAGAACACAAUUUGAUGAGAUAUCAUGUAGAUGCCUAGUCAAAGUUUCCAAUAUUGCCUAUUUGAUGAGAUUUCAUGUAGAAGUCUAGUCUUAACUUUGUGAUGGUGCCUACUGAUUCUCUAUUUGAAUAUUAGUCUUUGGUUGUAUAAGUUCAUUAUUUUACUUAUUAUAUGUUCAUCCGGAAGGAGGCUCUCCUCUUUCUUGUUAUAUGAAUUAUUACCUGAAGGCCCUCCUAUAUUAUUAUCCCUCAUUCUUAGGGGUGGUUAGUGGUUUUGUGUAAAUAGAUACCCACUCUAUACUGUAGUACUUGUUGGGAAGCAAAAAUUGAAGUUUAGUGGACCAAACUAGCACUACUAUGCAGUCUGUAGAUCCUUGUUGUAAGCUUAGUUUUGAAAUUUCCAGAGCAUGUAGAGCAGUCUUGAGUUGCAAUAUUCUUUGCAUUUUUAUGGAAAACUCAAAUUUAUGCAUGACCUUUCCUAAUUGAGGCUCGAUACUUAUGUAUUUUUAUGGAACACAUCUUUGUUUUUAUCUCAACUAUUGCUUCAGAAGUUAGAAGUUAGUAUACUUGAUCUUUUCCAACUUUGGUUGGGGUAUAUACUAAGUAUACUUGAUCUCAAUACUGGGGUAUAUACUAAUUUUGAUGGCAGCAUAGCACCUAAGAACUACACACAAGUGUAGUGCAUAUAAUACAGUAGUAUCACAAGGUUGGCCAUAUAAAUUGUUGGAUCACACUUUCAUUAAAUUCAACCAAUUAAUAGAGAACAACUCAAGAUAAAGCUGAUUGUGUCCUUCAUGUUAAAAAUAGUACUACUUAUAUUGCACCAUGCUAGUUCAUCUCAAUUCUAUAGUAUACAUGUCUUACUAGAAGAAAGAUAAAAAAAAACUCAAUUUCAACAAAUACAACGAACAUCAUCACAUGACAAAUAAAAAUGAGUUGAAAGCUUGGAUCAAAGCUUUUCCUCUUCCGGUAUGGGUGCCAUUUUGGUUGUCAAACUGGUGCACAAUCUCUCUUGUAUACAAUACAAAAUAGUUUCUUCUAGAUGGUAAAGUGGUUUAAUGCUUGGAGAACAUCAUAAUAGUUGGGGAAGGUUUUGCGAGGAUAACUCACUACAAAAAACGGGUCUAAUAGCAGAGGUUUAUUUGUGGGAGUUAUUUUAACCCUUACGAAUUUAUAUUAAAUGCAGGGGUUAAAAUAGUGCCGUUAAAAAUUAUGUAUUUGUGAAGGUUUUAACCCCGCUAUCCGUCCAUAAAAAAAUAGCGCCAAAUGAAAUAAUAUUUCCGUUCUUGUUUUCCUUAUGCCAAACACAUUUCCCUCUCUCAUGUUUUUUCCCCAAUAUCCCUCAAAACAUUUCUUUCUCAUUUUUUCCCAAUUAGAGUUGAUAGGGUGUUCUUCCUUGGCCAUUGAUUAGACAGUGAGAGGUACUCCGGCACAGUUGAUAGGAACUCCGGCCAUUGCGACACGUCUCUGGUCGGCCAUUGUCUUCCCAGCUCUUAGAUAAUUGUUUUUAAAUCAUAGUGUUUGUUUCAGAAGUGGCGCCGCCGUGAAAAGUCAUCACCGGAAGGAUUUUUCGGUGAUGAUAUCUAACCCGCUUGAAGAUUUGGGUUAUUCAUUUCCCAAAUGAUUGUAUGUUGUACUGGGAGUAUUUUUGUUGUUUCUUGAACUUGAUAGUUAGGUUUAUCUACUUUGAGUUUUGCUGUUAAAGUUUCUGUUUUUGGUAUUUUCUUAUUUAGGGAAAUUGAUUUGAAGUGAUCUGAAUUGAAGCAGAAAUGGGGUUGAUUUCUGGACUACACACAACACAUAUAAAAGGUCCACAUGAGUGCUCCUCAUAGUUAAAUUUAUUGACUUGUUGGUGUCAAUCCCAGCAGAAGGUCAUCCCAACUCUUUCGUGUACUUAAUGAUUCAGCGGACAAAGUUGCAAGGCAAGUUUAUGGGCUUACUGAUCCUGUACAAUCCCAAACACAUGGUACCAACCUAGCCAGAAACAGGAGCACACCUCCUCGUUACUAGAUUUCUCAAGAGUUUCAUUGCGACAGGAUGCAUAAUGUUUCGAUGGAAGAACAAAGUGGUGAUACACCUUAUAUAUGACUGUGAGAUCAGACUGAUGGCGAAUCCUCAAAGGCAAAAGGAAAAGGUUUACAUAGGUUGUGGUGCUGGGUUUGGAGGUAAUCAACCAGUAGCAGCGUUAAAGCUACUUCAGAGGGUGAAAGAGUUGGAUUAUCUAGUGCUGGAAUGUUUAGCAGAGCGCACCCUAGCUGACCGCUAUCAGGCCAUGAAAUCUGGCGGCAAGGGCUACGAUCCCUGUAGUAUGUUUUUUCUUAUUAAGUUGUUACUUUUGUUAGUCCAAGUGCCUUUAUCUGGGUUUUUUUCCGUCAGUAUGCUAUAAAUGUGAUAAUUUGUUUGUUUGGUGAUAACUAAAACUACUAGUGUUGUACAGUACCGUUGGCUAUGGAGAAUGGAUUUUGCAUUAUUACAAACAUGGGUGCGAGUAUGUGAUAUGCCUAAAUUUCCCUCCUCUAUGUUUGUAGCUCUUUUUUGGUUAUGGAUUUUGCUUCAAGUUGUUGUUGUCAGAUCAGGUGAAGUUCGAAUAUGAAAGAUAAAAUAAACUGAUGUACUAAUUGCCUUUGUAAUGACUGUCAUCUCCUUAUUCUUCCUAUGAGAUGGAAAACCAUAUCAUACUUAUUGAAUACUUUUGGGAUACAUUCAGAUUGGGAUGAGCACCUUAAACAUGUUGAUGUAAGAUUUAGUAAUAUACAGUAUUUUCAAUGGUAUAUGUCAGUAUCAUUUAUUUCAUCAAGUACAGAAUUUAUGCGGUGCAAGUCUUGUUUCUUAUUUUUCUAAUGCUUCAAUGUGGGUAUUUUGUUGAGGGUUAAGGUCUCGUACACACUACCGUCUCGGUAUCUUAUUGAGGGUUAAGGUCCCGUACACACUACCCUCUCGGUAUCUUGUUGUUGAACAAAUGAUUGUUUCAGUGAAUGCUCAAAUUUGCUUACUUCUUUGUUAUUACAGAGGUGAUAACUUCAGCUGAAUUUUACCCUAUUUAUUGUAACAUUUUGGCUUAUAGCAGUUCAACAGGGUCAAUACAUUUGGUAGAUAUAUGGCAGUCAGUAUUGUGCGACUCGCACUCUAAACUGUUUGAAGAACAGAAAACUCCUGGCUCAAGAUUCUUUUUUACCGAGAUAAUUGCUUUAAUUUCAGAUAUAAAAUUUGCAAAGACUGGAAGAUACAUACUUAGUCGUGACUAUAUGACCCUUAAGGUUGGUCCUUCACUCUUUUCUCUGGGGCUAAUCCUUUUCAGUUGACUCAUAUGAGAGAUGUGCAAAUUGCGUAUCACGACAUACUAUCUCGUUAAAAUUACUUUUAGUCUGCAGCCAACAUAAUAACCAUACACUCAUUUGGUGGUUACUUUGUGGUACAGGUUAGCUUCAUUUUUUAUUUUUCAUUAAUCUGAAAUGAUUUUUAGUAAAUACUCAUACUUCGAUUGCUGUGUGUAUGUGUGUAGAUAAAGGUUUCUAUUGAGUUCUCGCCUGUCUGGCUUCUAUACAGCCAGUGAUUGAUUGGGUUUUUUUGUUCAAACAGAGCACCAGAACUUCUAUUGGGAGCCGAACAAUAUUCUACUGUGAUUGACACGUGGUCACUGGGUUGCAUCAUUGUCGAGAUGCUAUCCAAAGAACCACUCUUCAAUGGGAAAACAGAAGUUGAUCAAAUCGAUAAGAUAUUCAGAAUUCUUGGCACUCCAAAUGAGACGAUUUGGGAAGGGUUCUCCGAGCUUCCUGGGGUGAAAGUCAACUUUGUAAAGCACCCCCAAGUGAUGUGGCUAGUGGACCCAUUUCGCCCAUAGAUGCAAGGAGAUCACGUGAUGAUAAUGAUCCUAAUGAUAUUCUUUGAUUUCGUUGCAUUUGUCUUGGAUAUUCAAUUAUGAUGGUGUAAUUGUGUGGUUUGAGUGAAUCUUAGAAUAUUGAAGAUUUUGUGUUUAAAAUUGAUUUUGUAGUUUGAAGAUACUAGUCAAUGUUGAAAAUUUGGAGUUUGAAGAUGUUAAUUUUGAAAAUUUAAUUUUGAAGUUUAA